UAGGGAAUCUUCGGCAAUGGACGGAAGUCUGACCGAGCAACGCCGCGUGAGUGAAGAAGGUUUUCGGAUCGUAAAGCUCUGUUGUUAGAGAAGAACGUUGGUAGGAGUGGAAAAUCUACCAAGUGACGGUAACUAACCAGAAAGGGACGGCUAACUACGUGCCAGCAGCCGCGGUAAUACGUAGGUCCCGAGCGUUGUCCGGAUUUAUUGGGCGUAAAGCGAGCGCAGGCGGUUCUUUAAGUCUGAAGUUAAAGGCAGUGGCUUAACCAUUGUACGCUUUGGAAACAGGAGGACUUAAGUGCAGGAGGGGAGAGUGGAAUUCCAUGUGUAGCGGUGAAAUGCGUAGAUAUAUGGAGGAACACCGGUGGCGAAAGCGGCUCUCUGGUCUGUAACUGACGCUGAGGCUCGAAAGCGUGGGGAGCAAACAGG
This 429-nucleotide ribosomal RNA is filed under the name Bacillota bacterium. Its description in RNAcentral is "Firmicutes bacterium partial 16S ribosomal RNA". It matches the Rfam family "Bacterial small subunit ribosomal RNA", at positions 355 to 776 of the family's 1533-position model. Lineage: Bacteria; Bacillati; Bacillota. The record is from RNAcentral.